AAAUCUUAGCACGGAGAAGGGAACUGUCUCAAAUACCAGUGCAUAUGAAGUUGAAAUGUCAGAAGCAAAACAAGUGCUGAGCCUGCAACUUACAUCGAAAGAAACUUAGAUGGCCCUCAAAGCUGAUACUGAUGAAAAUUCAGAUAAUUUGGCAGCCACUGAGGGAAACUGUAAAGAUAUUUGAGGGUGAGAAAAAAAGAUCAGUUCUUGGUCCACGAAGGAAAGACCUCGAGGUAAUUUCCUGGGGGAGAUGAAGUCGACUCGCUAGAAAAAGCCGCGUCACACGUGCAAAUUGCAAUAAAUUACAGGUUUGAAUGAUAGUUUCAUGCAUUCGCGUUGGUGAGCAUUACAACAACUCAAUGCAAAAUAUACAUGAAAUUUAAGGGUGAUUGGAUAAAAUUCUAAAAUCCUCCGUUCUUGUGUAUGUCGAGGUUAUCUUAUCUGGAGAAAGGGAACGGCCAAUCUCUUCAAGUCCAAAAAAAAUUGUUUGUCUUUAAGUGAUAAACCCAGCUUGUUUAUAAUGAGAUUUAACAAUAGUAAAAGUAAAAACCGUAGUUGUUUCUUAUUUUAGUUUUUGCCUUUUCGAGGUGAUUCUUCUAUGUAUAUUUUUUGUUUUGCAUGAUUGGAAGAUUUAUAUAUAUAUAUUUUCAAGGUGAUUCUUCAA
Long non-coding RNA from Olea europaea var. sylvestris, 664 nucleotides. RefSeq lists it as uncharacterized. The transcript has 2 exons. The record is from RefSeq and is a predicted model, not a curated record. Lineage: Eukaryota; Viridiplantae; Streptophyta; Magnoliopsida; Lamiales; Oleaceae.